GUAAGGAAUAUUGGUCAAUGGGCGCAAGCCUGAACCAGCCAUGCCGCGUGCAGGAAGACGGCCCUCCGGGUUGUAAACUGCUUUUAUUCGGGAAUAAACCUUUCUACGUGUAGGAAGCUGAAUGUACCGAAGGAAUAAGGAUCGGCUAACUCCGUGCCAGCAGCCGCGGUAAUACGGAGGAUCCAAGCGUUAUCCGGAUUUAUUGGGUUUAAAGGGUGCGUAGGCGGCCUGUUAAGUCAGGGGUGAAAGACGGUAGCUCAACUAUCGCAGUGCCCUUGAUACUGACGGGCUUGAAUAGACUAGAGGUAGGCGGAAUGUGACAAGUAGCGGUGAAAUGCAUAGAUAUGUCACAGAACACCGAUUGCGAAGGCAGCUUACUAUGGUCUGAUUGACGCUGAGGCACGAAAGCGUGGGGAUCAAACAGGAUUAGAUACCCCAGUAGUCC
This 445-nucleotide ribosomal RNA is filed under the name uncultured bacterium. RNAcentral's name for it is "bacterial SSU rRNA". It matches the Rfam family "Bacterial small subunit ribosomal RNA", at positions 354 to 796 of the family's 1533-position model. The record is from RNAcentral.